UACGUAGGGUGCGAGCGUUGUCCGGAAUUAUUGGGCGUAAAGGGCUCGUAGGCGGUUUGUCGCGUCGACUGUGAAAACCUGGGGCUUAACUCUGGGCCUGCAGUCGAUACGGGCAGACUUGAGUUCGGUAGGGGAGACUGGAAUUCCUGGUGUAGCGGUGAAAUGCGCAGAUAUCAGGAGGAACACCAAUUGCGAAGGCAGCUCGCUGGGACGUAACUGACGCUGAGACGCGAAAGCGUGGGGAGCAAACAGG
RNAcentral lists this ribosomal RNA (253 nucleotides) under uncultured bacterium. Its description in RNAcentral is "partial 16S ribosomal RNA". It matches the Rfam family "Bacterial small subunit ribosomal RNA", at positions 524 to 776 of the family's 1533-position model. The record is from RNAcentral.